AGAAGAGCUCUUGUAUUGAGGAGCUCUCUUCCGUAGAGUCCACUGUUCGUUUACUGAGGUCAAUCAGCUCAAACUCGAACCCUAGAUUUUGAAGUUUACGUGCUAAUGACUUGAUUUCAUCAACCCAAUUCGAAUCAUCGCUUCCGAGUAAGCAGAUCUCUCUCCCUUGCUUCACCUGUGAGUAUUGAUUGGUUUCAGAAUCUGAUUCAAAGAAUGUUAUUUUAUGACAGUAUAAGAGAAUUUAGAAGUACCCAUGUGUUGAAUUCAGGAUGAAUGCCAUCAAGCAUGAGCUGCAAGGACAAUGUAUGAUCUUCUUCCCAAAGCUCAUCUUCUUUGGAAGCUGUAAAUGGAUACGCUUUACCACCCCAGAUCAGCACCAUAUCCAUGGCGUUCAUGUU
Molecule: long non-coding RNA, 398 nt
Filed under: Brassica napus (rape)
Lineage: Eukaryota; Viridiplantae; Streptophyta; Magnoliopsida; Brassicales; Brassicaceae
Description: long non-coding RNA (BNAP_LNC019119)
Source: RNAcentral